UAUAAAACAGAAGCAGGCCCAUUCAACUGCUUCAAAAAACAGCUGAAACAACAACUCACCACUGCAGGAACUGACCUUAAGACCUCAGAGUGUAUACGACUACACUCAUACGCAGGUGGUGCUCAACAAUCAGGAGGAGAGCAGCAAGAACAGACCACAUCAGGCACAAAGAUUCAGAGAAUAAGCAAACACCAUUCAGGACUUAGGAUUCAAACAUUCCUGAGGAAAAACUUAAGUCAAGGCUUUUCCCUGUUCACAAUAUUCUGUUAACAUUGCCAGAGUUGGGAGAUAUGAGCGUUGCAAACGGGCUGAUCAUCCUGAGAAGACAAUGCGUGGGCGGGCCCAGGACUUGGAGAUCUAACAAUGGUAGUCGUGGAAUGGAGAGUAACACAAAUAAUUAAACUGACCAAGAAAAAUGAUGACCAUCUUCCAGCCACUUUCUAAAAUGGU
Molecule: long non-coding RNA, 450 nt
Organism: Alosa sapidissima (American shad)
Lineage: Eukaryota; Metazoa; Chordata; Actinopteri; Clupeiformes; Clupeidae
Exons: 3
Source: RefSeq, a predicted model, not a curated record